RNAcentral lists this ribosomal RNA (253 nucleotides) under uncultured bacterium. RNAcentral's name for it is "partial 16S ribosomal RNA". It matches the Rfam family "Bacterial small subunit ribosomal RNA", at positions 524 to 776 of the family's 1533-position model. The record is from RNAcentral.
UACAGAGGUCUCAAGCGUUGUUCGGAUUCACUGGGCGUAAAGGGUGCGUAGGCGGCGCGGUAAGUCGGGUGUGAAAUCUCGGAGCUUAACUCCGAAACUGCAUUCGAUACUGCCGUGCUUGAGGACUGGAGAGGAGACUGGAAUUUACGGUGUAGCGGUGAAAUGCGUAGAUAUCGUAAGGAAGACCAGUGGCGAAGGCGGGUCUCUGGACAGUUCCUGACGCUGAGGCACGAAGGUCAGGGGAGCAAACGGG